GACGAACGCUGGCGGCGUGCUUAACACAUGCAAGUCGAGCGGUAAGGCCUUUCGGGGUACCCGAGCGGCGAACGGGUGAGUAACACGUGGGUGAUCUGCCCUGCACUUCGGGAUAAGCCUGGGAAACUGGGUCUAAUACCGGAUAUGACCUCCUAUCGCAUGGUGGGUGGUGGAAAGAUUUAUCGGUGCAGGAUGGGCCCGCGGCCUAUCAGCUUGUUGGUGGGGUAAUGGCCUACCAAGGCGACGACGGGUAGCCGACCUGAGAGGGUGACCGGCCACACUGGGACUGAGACACGGCCCAGACUCCUACGGGAGGCAGCAGUGGGGAAUAUUGCACAAUGGGCGAAAGCCUGAUACAGCGACGCCGCGUGAGGGAUGACGGCCUUCGGGUUGUAAACCUCUUUCAGCAGGGACGAAGCGCAAGUGACGGUACCUGCAGAAGAAGCACCGGCUAACUACGUG
RNAcentral lists this ribosomal RNA (462 nucleotides) under uncultured bacterium. RNAcentral describes it as "partial 16S ribosomal RNA". It matches the Rfam family "Bacterial small subunit ribosomal RNA", at positions 28 to 507 of the family's 1533-position model. The record is from RNAcentral.